Molecule: non-coding RNA, 192 nt
Organism: Cherax quadricarinatus
Lineage: Eukaryota; Metazoa; Arthropoda; Malacostraca; Decapoda; Parastacidae
Source: RefSeq, a predicted model, not a curated record
AAAAAGGGGGGGGUUUUUUUUUAAAAAAAAAAAACCCCCCAAAAAAAAAACCUUUUGGGGGGGGCCCCCUCCCCCCUUUUUUUUUUUUUUUUAAAAAAAAAAAGGGGGGGAAAAAAAACCCCCCCCAAAAUUUUUUUUUUUUUGGGGGGGGGGUUUUUUUCCCCCAAAAUUUUUUUCCCCUUCCCCCCCCCA